ACCAAACCCCCCCCCCCCCCCCGCUCGGUGGAAUCGGUUGCUCGAACCCUAGCCCCUCCAAUGGACGACCACCAAACCCAGGAUCUCGUCAAGGAGCUCGUCCACCGCCUCAUCUCCGCCGAAUCCGGCGGCGGCGGGAGGGAUGCGGGGGGCGCGCUGCGGUUCGCGCACCGGCUGCUCUCGAGCCGCCUCGCGCCAGCCGUCCUCCCCGACGAGCACGCGCUCGCGGAGUCCGUCAAGCGCCGCCUCGCCGCGUCGGGCCGCCCCGACGACGCGCUCGCCUUCGCCGACCUCCACGCCAAGCUCUCCGCCAGGUCGCGCCCGGCGUCGCUCUGGCCGCUCCUCUACCUGCUCGACUCGCUCUCCUCCCACCGCCGCGCCGCCGCCGCCGCGUCCUGCCUUCCCAACCUCCCCACGGCCGCGCCCCCGCGCGCCGCGGGCUCGGGGGCGGCGGCGGCGGCGGCGGCGGCAGGGGGGAAGCCGGCCUCGCGGGCGCCCGGGGCCCCGCCCGGCGGCGUGGUGCUGGUCUCCAAGGAUCCCGACAACAUCCGCGAGAUCGCGCUGCGGGAGUACACCGAGCUGGUGCUCGACGAGACGGAGGUGUCGGAGGCGGCGCUCGUGCGCGACGUGCUGUACGCGUGCCAGGGGAUCGACGGCCGGUACGUGCGGUUCGACAAGGGCAGCGACGCGUACGACCUCCCCGACGGCGUCCGCGUGCCGCGCUCCACGCGCACCCUGGUGCGCAAGCUAUGCGAGCUGGGGUGGCUGUUCCGCAAGGUGCGGGGGUUCAUCUCCGACAACAUCAGUCGCUCUCCCUCCGAUGCUGCCACCGAGGUCGGCACCGUUGCUCAGGCCUUCUGCUCCGCUCUACAGGAGGAGCUCUCUGAUUACUAUAAGCUCCUCGCCGUUCUCGAGUCUUACUCGCUGAAUCCGAUUCCUACGCCUGGAUCUGAUUCAGGGGUGUCUGGUAAUUACCUCUCUCUGCGGCGUCUUGCAGUUUGGCUAGCUGAGCCUGCGGUGAGGAUGCGCCUAAUGGCGGUUUUGGUUGAUGGAUGCCGGGGUUUGAGAGGUGGCGCAAUGGCUGGUGCGAUCCAUGGGCACGCACAGCAUGGGGAUCCCACCUUCCAGGAUUUUAUGGGCCGCUUGCUGCGGCGGGUGUGCUCACCGCUGUUUGAAAUGGUCCGAAGCUGGGUGUUAGAAGGGGAGUUGGAGGAUGUGUUUGCAGAAUUCUUCAUUGUUGGGCAGCCAGUCAAGGCUGAGUCUCUGUGGCAGGAGGGCUAUCUUCUUCAGUCUGAUAUGCUUCCAGCUUUCAUUUCUCCAGUACUGGCGCAAAGGAUUCUUAGAACCGGGAAGUCAAUCAACUUUCUUAAAGUUUGCUGUGAUGAUAAUGGUUGGGCAGAUGCUGCUACUGAGGCUGCUGUCUGUGUUGGCACCACAACUAGUCGAGGUGGGCUUGGUUAUGGGCAGAUUGAUGCUUUGGAGGCACUAGUGGUUGAAGCAGCCAAGAGGAUUGAUCGGCAUUUGAUGGAUGUGAUCCAUAAGCGGUAUCGAUUCAAAGAUCAUUGUCUUGCGAUUAAGAGGUAUUUGCUUCUUGGGCAGGGUGACUUCGUCCAGUAUCUGAUGGAUGUUGUUGGCCCUGAGUUGUCAGAGCCAGCAAAUAGGAUUAGCUCCUUCCAUUUGGCUGGGUUGCUUGAGACUGCGAUCCGAGCAUCUAACGCUCAAUAUGAUGACCGUGACAUCUUGGAUCGCAUAAAGGUAAAGAUGAUGGAUCAUGGAGAUGGUGAUCGUGGCUGGGAUGUGUUUUCCUUGGAGUAUGAUGCUAGGGUUCCUCUGGAUACGGUAUUCACAGCUUCUGUCAUGAAGAGGUACCUCAAGAUUUUUAACUUCCUGUGGAAGCUUAAGCGUGUAGACCAUUCAUUGACUGGAAUCUGGAAGACAAUGAAGCCUAACUGCAUUGUUUCAUCUCCAUUUUACAAGGAGGGAACAAACAUCAGGUCUCAGUUUGUUUCAGUUCUUCGCAAAUGCCAAGUUCUAUUUAAUGAAAUGAACCACUUUGUGACCAACUUCCAGUACUACAUUAUGUUUGAGGUCCUGGAAGUUUCCUGGGCUCGUUUCUCAGAAGAAAUGGAUUCAGCAAAGGAUUUAGAUGAUCUUCUGUUGGCACAUGAUAAGUAUCUCACAUCGAUUGUGGAGAAGUCUCUCCUUGGUGAGAGAUCACAUGGAAUUCUGAGGAAUCUUUUUGCACUUUUUGACAUCAUUUUGCAAUUCCGGAGCCAUGCUGAUCGGUGGUUUGAGCGGAUAUAUGAGUUGCAACUGAGGGGAAAGGGUAAGCCAAAAUCAAAAGCAAAAGCUAAAUCCAAGGAAGUGGAUUCAUGGGUGGAUGGUGGGAGGAAAGCCAUGAUUCAGCUGGCUGGGGAACUUUUCCGGAAAAUGGGUGAAGAUUUGGAUAGCAUCGCGAAAGAUUAUACUUCUUCACUUGAUGCAUUUAUCGCUCAGUUACCUAUGCAACAGCAUGUUGAUUUGAAAUUCCUACUCUUCCGCUUAGACUUCACUGAAUACUACAGUCGUGUUUCGUCUAACAAAUGAAGAUGUGUUCCUGAUGUGGAAAAAGUAGGGAGUUAGAUUUACUCUUUGGUUUGGGGUUUGUGAGGCAUUCUUUUGUACACCUUAGCCCUGCUGAUUGAUAUUUGGUCAUUUGAAAGGCAUGGUCUGCCACUUUCAUUUGUCCUGAACCUCCUGUUGAAUUCACCCUUUAAGAGUUUGCCCACGCAUGCCAUGAAGUUGGAGGCUUGCUGCCAUGCAUUCUGAACAACUAUAGUGUACAAAAUUGAUGUAAGUUUACUUUGGUUUUCACUUUUAGAUGAACUGGUGUACAUUUCAUGCACACAUUUUCCACCCUGAUUUUUUAGAGUUGCAUUGUGUGGGGGCUUCUCCUUACCAGUUUGUAUUCUUCGGUUACAGGAGAAUGAAAAAUCUCAUUUUGCUAGUUGCUGUUCUUUAUCUGGUCAUCAAAAUUGUUGUUAAGUAAUUCAGGAUGCCUAUAAUUCGUUUGUUUGUAUGAACCGUAUCAUUCGUUUCCAAUCUCAAAAUGGCUGUGCGAAAA
Molecule: non-coding RNA, 3103 nt
Organism: Oryza sativa Japonica Group (Japanese rice)
Lineage: Eukaryota; Viridiplantae; Streptophyta; Magnoliopsida; Poales; Poaceae
Source: RefSeq, a predicted model, not a curated record